RNAcentral lists this ribosomal RNA (484 nucleotides) under uncultured bacterium. Its description in RNAcentral is "partial 16S ribosomal RNA". It matches the Rfam family "Bacterial small subunit ribosomal RNA", at positions 38 to 507 of the family's 1533-position model. The record is from RNAcentral.
GGGGGGGGGGGGGGGGGGGCGGGGGGGGGGCGGGUCGGGCGGGGGGGGGGGGGUUGCGCCGGGAGUCGGCGGCGGACGGGGGAGGAGUGCCUAGGAAUCUGCCUGGUGGUGGGGGAUAACGUCCGGAAACGGGCGCUAAUACCGCAUCCGUCCUGUGGGAGCGCGUGGGGGAUCUUCGGCCCUCCCGCUCUCAGGUGAGCCUGGGUCGGAUUAGCUAGUUGGUGGGGUAAAGGCCUCCCAAGGCGACGAUCCGUAACUGGUCUGAGAGGAUGAUCAGUCACACUGGAACUGAGACACGGUCCAGACUCCUACGGGAGGCAGCAGUGGGGAAUAUUGGACAAUGGGCGAAAGCCUGAUCCAGCCAUGCCGCGUGUGUGAAGAAGGUCUUCGGAUUGUAAAGCACUUUAAGUUGGGAGGAAGGGCAGUAAGUUAAUACCUUGCUGUUUUGACGUUACCAACAGAAUAAGCACCGGCUAACUUCGUG